UAGGGAAUCUUCGGCAAUGGACGAAAGUCUGACCGAGCAACGCCGCGUGAGUGAAGAAGGUUUUCGGAUCGUAAAACUCUGUUGGUAGAGAAGAACGACAUUGAGAGUAACUGUUCAAUGUGUGACGGUAUCUUACCAGAAAGGAACGGCUAAAUACGUGCCAG
RNAcentral lists this ribosomal RNA (164 nucleotides) under uncultured bacterium. RNAcentral describes it as "partial 16S rRNA". It matches the Rfam family "Bacterial small subunit ribosomal RNA", at positions 355 to 511 of the family's 1533-position model. The record is from RNAcentral.